CGACGAGUCGCAAGACCGCGAGGUUUAGCAAAUCUCUUAAAGCCGUUCUCAGUUCGGAUUGUAGGCUGCAACUCGCCUACAUGAAGUCGGAAUCGCUAGUAAUCGCGGAUCAGCAUGCCGCGGUGAAUACGUUCCCGGGCCUUGUACACACCGCCCGUCACACCAUGAGAGUUUGUAACACCCAAAGCCGGUGGGGUAACCUUUUGGAGCCAGCCGUCUAAGGUGGGACAGAUGAUUGGGGUGAAGUCGUAACAAGGUAUC
This 261-nucleotide ribosomal RNA is filed under the name uncultured bacterium. RNAcentral's name for it is "partial 16S ribosomal RNA". It matches the Rfam family "Bacterial small subunit ribosomal RNA", at positions 1240 to 1500 of the family's 1533-position model. The record is from RNAcentral.